CGUCCUCACGGACCGCCGGGGGGUCUUUGUACCCCUUGGCCCGCGCUCGUCGACAGCCCCCAAAUUUAAAAAAUCUUAACUAAACGUGUCUUGAAUCUAAGUAUUAUUGUUAAAUAAAAACAAAACUUUCAACAACGGAUCUCUUGGUUCUGGCAUCGAUGAAGAACGCAGCGAAAUGCGAUAAGUAAUGCGAAUUGCAGAAUUCCAGUGAGUCAUCGAAUCUUUGAACGCACAUUGCGCCCUUUGGUAUUCCGAAGGGCAUGCCUGUUCGAGCGUCAUUAUCACCCCUCAAGCCCUCGGCUUGGUGUUGGACGGCUUGGUGGAGACCCCCUUUGCGGGCUUCUACCCCUCCCAAAGACAAUGACGGCGGCCUCGUUGGACCCCCGGUACACUGAGUUCUUCACGGGACACGUAUCGGACACAUGGGUUCACGGGACACGGUCUGCCUCCCCUCAGGGAGAAUCUUUUUUUAUCAAGGUUGACCUCGGAUCAGGUAGGGAUACCCGCUGAACUUAAGCAUAUCAAUAAGCGGAGGAAAAGAAACC
This 545-nucleotide ribosomal RNA is filed under the name fungal sp. Its description in RNAcentral is "eukaryotic LSU rRNA". The stretch from base 124 to 278 matches the Rfam family "5.8S ribosomal RNA". The record is from RNAcentral. Lineage: Eukaryota; Fungi.